GGGCGCGUAGCUCAGUUGGUUAGAGCGCCACGUUGACAUCGUGGAGGCCAGAGGUUCGAGUCCUCUCGCGCCCA
Molecule: transfer RNA, 74 nt
Filed under: Actinomycetota bacterium
Lineage: Bacteria; Bacillati; Actinomycetota
Description: Actinobacteria bacterium (freshwater metagenome) tRNA-Val
Rfam family: tRNA
About the family: Transfer RNA (tRNA) molecules are approximately 80 nucleotides in length.
Source: RNAcentral